Molecule: ribosomal RNA, 550 nt
Filed under: uncultured bacterium
Lineage: Bacteria
Description: partial 16S ribosomal RNA
Rfam family: Bacterial small subunit ribosomal RNA
Source: RNAcentral
UGGGGAAUAUUGGACAAUGGGCGCAAGCCUGAUCCAGCAAUGCCGCGUGUGUGAAGAAGGCCUUCGGGUUGUAAAGCACUUUUAUCAGGAGCGAAACGCUGUCGGCUAAUACCCGGCGGAACUGACGGUACCUGAGGAAUAAGCACCGGCUAACUUCGUGCCAGCAGCCGCGGUAAUACGAAGGGUGCAAGCGUUAAUCGGAAUUACUGGGCGUAAAGCGUGCGUAGGCGGUUUCUUAAGUCUGCUGUGAAAUCCCCGGGCUCAACCUGGGAAUGGCAGUGGAUACUGGGAGGCUAGAGUGUGUCAGAGGGUGGUGGAAUUCCCGGUGUAGCGGUGAAAUGCGUAGAGAUCGGGAGGAACACCAGUGGCGAAGGCGGCCACCUGGGACAACACUGACGCUGAGGCACGAAAGCGUGGGGAGCAAACAGGAUUAGAUACCCUGGUAGUCCACGCCCUAAAGCGAUGCGAACUGGAUGUUGGUCUCAACUCGGAGAUCAGUGUCGAAGCUAACGCGUUAAGUUCGCCGCCUGGGGAGUACGGUCGCAAGACU